GAUGAACGCUGGCGGCGUGCCUAAUACAUGCAAGUCGAGCGAACAGAUAAGGAGCUUGCUCCUUUGACGUUAGCGGCGGACGGGUGAGUAACACGUGGGUAACCUACCUAUAAGACUGGAAUAACUCCGGGAAACCGGGGCUAAUGCCGGAUAACAUUUAGAACCGCAUGGUUCUAAAGUGAAAGAUGGUUUUGCUAUCACUUAUAGAUGGACCCGCGCCGUAUUAGCUAGUUGGUAAGGUAACGGCUUACCAAGGCAACGAUACGUAGCCGACCUGAGAGGGUGAUCGGCCACACUGGAACUGAGACACGGUGCAGACUCCUACGGGAGGCAGCAGUAGGGAAUCUUCCGCAAUGGGCGAAAGCCUGACGGAGCAACGCCGCGUGAGUGAUGAAGGUCUUCGGAUCGUAAAACUCUGUUAUUAGGGAAGAACAAAUGUGUAAGUAACUGUGCACGUCUUGACGGUACCUAAUCAGAAAGCCACGGCUAACUACGUG
This 497-nucleotide ribosomal RNA is filed under the name uncultured bacterium. RNAcentral's name for it is "partial 16S ribosomal RNA". It matches the Rfam family "Bacterial small subunit ribosomal RNA", at positions 28 to 507 of the family's 1533-position model. The record is from RNAcentral.